RNAcentral lists this ribosomal RNA (460 nucleotides) under uncultured bacterium. RNAcentral's name for it is "partial 16S ribosomal RNA". It matches the Rfam family "Bacterial small subunit ribosomal RNA", at positions 338 to 795 of the family's 1533-position model. The record is from RNAcentral.
CCUACGGGAGGCAGCAGUGAGGAAUAUUGGUCAAUGGACGAGAGUCUGAACCAGCAAAGUAGCGUGAAGGAUGACUGCCCUAUGGGUUGUAAACUUCUUUUAUAUGGGAAUAAAAUAUUCCACGUGUGGGAUUUUGUAUGUACCAUAUGAAUAAGGAUCGGCUAACUCCGUGCCAGCAGCCGCGGUAAUACGGAGGAUCCGAGCGUUAUCCGGAUUUAUUGGGUUUAAAGGGAGCGUAGGUGGAUUGUUAAGUCAGUUGUGAAAUUUUGCGGCUCAACCGUAAAAGUGCAGUUGAAACUGGCAGUCUUGAGUACAGUAGAGGUAGGCGGAAUUCGUGGUGUAGCGGUGAAAUGCUUAGAUAGCACGAAGAACUCCGAUUGCGAAGGCAGCUCACUGGACUGCAACUGACACUGAUGCUCGAAAGUGUGGGUAUCAAACAGGAUUAGAUACCCUGGUAGUC